GGGAGUUGUAGUGAGGUAUGAUUGUGGGCGCAGGUGUGUUACGGGAGUUGGAGUGAGGAUAGGUAGUGGGUGCAGGUGAAUUAUGGGAGUUGGCGUGAGGGAUGAUAGUGGGUGCAGGUGAACUACGGGAGUUGGAGUGAGGGCCGAUAAUGGGUGCAGGUGAAUCAUGGGAGUUGGAGUGAAGACUGAUAGUGGGUGCAGGUGAAUUAUGUGAGUUGGAUUGAGGUCUGAUAGUAGGUGCAGGUGCAUGAUGGGAGAUGGUGUGAGGGCUGAUAGUGGGUAAAGGUGAGUUACGGGAGUUGGGGUGAGGGAUGAUAGUGGGAGCAGGUGGAUUAUGGGAGUUGGAGUGAGGGCUAAUAGUGGGUGCAGGUGAAUCAUGGGAGUCGGAGUGAGGGCUGAUAGUGGGUGCAGGUGAAUUAUGGGAGUUGGAGUGAGGGCUGAUAGUGGGUGCAGGUGAAUUAUGGGAGUUGGAGUGAGGGCUGAUAGUGGGUGCAGGUGAAUUAUGGGAGUUGGAGUGAGGGCUGAUAGUGGGUGCAGGUGAAUUAUGGGAGUUGGAGUGAGGGCUGAUAGUGGGUGCAGGUGAAUUAUGGGAGUUGGAGUGAGGGCUGAUAGUGGGUGCAGGUGAAUUAUGGGAGUUGGAGUGAGGGAUGAUAGUGGGUGCAGGUGAACUAUGGGAGUUGGAGUGAGGGCUGAUAGUGGGUAAUGGUGAGUUACAGGAGUUGGGGUGAGGGCUGAUAAUGGGUGCAGGUGAAUUAUGGGAGUUUAAGUGAGGGCUGAUAGUGGGUGCAGGUGAAUCAUGGGA
Molecule: long non-coding RNA, 802 nt
Organism: Astyanax mexicanus (Mexican tetra)
Lineage: Eukaryota; Metazoa; Chordata; Actinopteri; Characiformes; Acestrorhamphidae
Exons: 3
Source: RefSeq, a predicted model, not a curated record